AUUCAGCUGACAAGUCUCAAAUAAGACGAAACACGCGUAUUAGAU
This 45-nucleotide non-coding RNA is filed under the name Schistosoma margrebowiei. Lineage: Eukaryota; Metazoa; Platyhelminthes; Trematoda; Strigeidida; Schistosomatidae. The record is from RNAcentral.